RNAcentral lists this small nuclear RNA (22 nucleotides) under Arabidopsis thaliana (thale cress). RNAcentral's name for it is "snRNA_03177". The record is from RNAcentral. Lineage: Eukaryota; Viridiplantae; Streptophyta; Magnoliopsida; Brassicales; Brassicaceae.
UUGAGCCGUCACACGGAAUCGA